UGGCGGACGGGUGAGUAACGCGUGAGUAACCUGCCCUUAGGAAAGGGAUAGCGUCUGGAAACGGACGGUAAUACCAUAUAAAGUAUAUUAACGGCAUCGUAGAUAUACCAAAGCUGAGGCGCCUAAGGAUGGACUCGCGUCUGAUUAGAUAGUUGGUGGGGUAACGGCCUACCAAGUCGACGAUCAGUAGCCGGACUGAGAGGUUGAAUGGCCACAUUGGGACUGAGACACGGCCCAGACUCCUACGGGAGGCAGCAG
RNAcentral lists this ribosomal RNA (258 nucleotides) under uncultured bacterium. Its description in RNAcentral is "partial 16S ribosomal RNA". It matches the Rfam family "Bacterial small subunit ribosomal RNA", at positions 96 to 354 of the family's 1533-position model. The record is from RNAcentral.